UACGUAGGGGGCGAGCGUUGUCCGGAUUUAUUGGGCGUAAAGAGCUCGUAGGCGGUUCGAUAAGUCGGACGUGAAAUCUCCACGCUCAACGUGGAGGGGCCGUUCGAUACUGUCGUGACUCGAGUCCGGUAGGGGAGUGUGGAAUUCCCGGUGUAGCGGUGAAAUGCGCAGAGAUCGGGAGGAACACCCGUAGCGAAGGCGGCACUCUGGGCCGGUACUGACGCUGAGGAGCGAAAGCGUGGGUAGCAAACAGG
This 254-nucleotide ribosomal RNA is filed under the name uncultured bacterium. RNAcentral's name for it is "partial 16S ribosomal RNA". It matches the Rfam family "Bacterial small subunit ribosomal RNA", at positions 524 to 776 of the family's 1533-position model. The record is from RNAcentral.